Molecule: ribosomal RNA, 192 nt
Filed under: Hygrophorus unicolor
Lineage: Eukaryota; Fungi; Basidiomycota; Agaricomycetes; Agaricales; Hygrophoraceae
Description: partial 28S ribosomal RNA
Rfam family: Eukaryotic large subunit ribosomal RNA
Source: RNAcentral
UUGACCUCAAAUCAGGUAGGACUACCCGCUGAACUUAAGCAUAUCAAUAAGCGGAGGAAAAGAAACUAACAAGGAUUCCCCUAGUAACUGCGAGUGAAGCGGGAAAAGCUCAAAUUUAAAAUCUGGCGGUCUUUUGGCUGUCCGAGUUGUAAUCUAGAGAAGUGCUUUCCGCGYUGGACCGUGUACAAGUCU